This 293-nucleotide ribosomal RNA is filed under the name uncultured bacterium. RNAcentral's name for it is "partial 16S ribosomal RNA". It matches the Rfam family "Archaeal small subunit ribosomal RNA", at positions 455 to 747 of the family's 1478-position model. The record is from RNAcentral.
GUGCCAGCCGCCGCGGUAAUACCGGCAGCCCGUGUGAUGGCCGGUCUUAUUGGGCCUAAGGCGUCCGUAGCUGGCCGCGCAAGUCCAUCGGGAAAUCCACCUGCUCAACAGGUGGGCGCCCGGUGGAAACUGUGCGGCUUGGGACCGGAAGGCGCGACGGGUACGUCCGGGGUAGGAGUGAAAUCCCGUAAUCCUGGACGGACCGCCGAUGGCGAAAGCACGUUGGGAAGACGAAUCCGACAGUGAGGGACGAAAGCUAGGGUCUCGAACCGGAUUAGAUACCCGGGUAGUCC